AACGAACGCUGGCGGCGUGGAUAAGACAUGCAAGUCGAGCGAGAUUUUUUCUUGUAGCAAUACGAGGAAAAGUCUAGCGGCGAACGGGUGCUUAACACGUGGGCAACCUGCCAAGAAGUGGGGGAUAGCUCGCCGAAAGGCGAAUUAAUACCGCAUGUGAUCAGAGUGGACAUCCAUUCAAAAUUAAAGUCGGGGCAACCUGACGCUUCUUGAGGGGCCCGCGGCCUAUCAGCUAGUUGGUGAGGUAACGGCCCACCAAGGCUUUGACGGGUAGCUGGUCGGAGAGGACGACCAGCCGCACUGGGACUGAGACACGGCCCAGACACCUACGGGUGGCAGCAGUCGAGAAUUUUUCUCAAUGGGGGAAACCCUGAAGGAGCGACGCCGCGUGGAGGAUGAAGGUCUUCGGAUUGUAAACUCCUGUCAUUGGGGAACAAUGCGUAAAUAUUAACUGUAUUUGCGUUGAUAGUACCCGAAGAGGAAGAGACGGCUAACUCUGUGCCAGCAGCCGCAGUAA
This 517-nucleotide ribosomal RNA is filed under the name uncultured bacterium. RNAcentral describes it as "partial 16S ribosomal RNA". It matches the Rfam family "Bacterial small subunit ribosomal RNA", at positions 29 to 523 of the family's 1533-position model. The record is from RNAcentral.